AACGAACGCUGGCGGCAGGCCUAAAACAUGCAAGUCGAACGGGUGUAGCAAUACAUCAGUGGCGCACGGGUGAGUAACGCGUGGGAACGUGCCCUUCAGUACGGGACAACGUCGGGAAACUGACGCUAAUACCGUAUAAUAUCUCCGGAUCAAAGAUUUAUCGCUGAAGGAUCGGCCCGCGUCUGAUUAGUUUGUUGGUGAGGUAACGGCUCACCAAGACUACGAUCAGUAGCUGGUCUGAGAGGAUGAUCAGCCACACUGGGACUGAGACACGGCCCAGACUCCUACGGGAGGCAGCAGUUAGGAAUAUUGGACAAUGGGGAAACCCUGAUCCAGCCAUGCCGCGUGUGUGAUGAAGGCCCUUAGGGUUGUAAAGCACUUUCGUUGGGGAUGAUAAUGACCGUACCCAAAGAGAAGCCACGGCUAAAUUCGUG
RNAcentral lists this ribosomal RNA (434 nucleotides) under uncultured bacterium. RNAcentral's name for it is "bacterial SSU rRNA". It matches the Rfam family "Bacterial small subunit ribosomal RNA", at positions 29 to 507 of the family's 1533-position model. The record is from RNAcentral.